UACAGAGGUGGCAAGCGUUGUUCGGAAUUACUGGGCGUAAAGGGCGCGUAGGCGGUCCUCUAAGUCUUGUGUGAAAUCCCUCGGCUCAACUGAGGAACUGCACGGGAUACUGGAAGACUUGAGUUCGGGAGAGGGAAGCGGAAUUCCAGGUGUAGCGGUGAAAUGCGUAGAUAUCCGGAGGAACACCGGUGGCGAAGGCGGCUUCCUGGACCGAUUACUGACGCUGAGGCGCGAAAGCUAGGGGAGCAAACGGG
RNAcentral lists this ribosomal RNA (254 nucleotides) under uncultured bacterium. RNAcentral's name for it is "partial 16S ribosomal RNA". It matches the Rfam family "Bacterial small subunit ribosomal RNA", at positions 524 to 776 of the family's 1533-position model. The record is from RNAcentral.